GGAGCAACGCCGCGUGAGUGAAGAAGGGUUUCGGCUCGUAAAACUCUGUUGUUAAAGAAGAACAUAUCUGAGAGUAACUGUUCAGGUAUUGACGGUAUUUAACCAGAAAGCCACGGCUAACUACGUGCCAGCAGCCGCGGUAAUACGUAGGUGGCAAGCGUUGUCCGGAUUUAUUGGGCGUAAAGCGAGCGCAGGCGGUUUUUUAAGUCUGAUGUGAAAGCCUUCGGCUCAACCGAAGAAGUGCAUCGGAAACUGGGAAACUUGAGUGCAGAAGAGGACAGUGGAACUCCAUGUGUAGCGGUGAAAUGCGUAGAUAUAUGGAAGAACACCAGUGGCGAAGGCGGCUGUCUGGUCUGUAACUGACGCUGAGGCUCGAAAGUAUGGGUAGCAAACAGGAUUAGAUACCCUGGUAGUCCAUACCGUAAACGAUGAAUGCUAAGUGUUGGAGGGUUUCCGCCCUUCAGUGCUGCAGCUAACGCAUUAAGCAUUCCGCCUGGGGAGUACGGCCGCAAGGCUGAAACUCAAAGGAAUUGACGGGGGCCCGCACAAGCGGUGGAGCAUGUGGUUUAAUUCGAAGCUACGCGAAGAACCUUACCAGGUCUUGACAUACUAUGCAAAUCUAAGAGAUUAGACGUUCCCUUCGGGGACAUGGAUACAGGUGGUGCAUGGUUGUCGUCAGCUCGUGUCGUGAGAUGUUGGGUUAAGUCCCCGCAACGAGCGCAA
RNAcentral lists this ribosomal RNA (723 nucleotides) under Lactiplantibacillus plantarum. RNAcentral's name for it is "bacterial SSU rRNA". It matches the Rfam family "Bacterial small subunit ribosomal RNA", at positions 388 to 1101 of the family's 1533-position model. Lineage: Bacteria; Bacillati; Bacillota; Bacilli; Lactobacillales; Lactobacillaceae. The record is from RNAcentral.